UCUCAUGGGGUACCCCAAUUGACUAGACAGAAAGUUCAACUUUCUAUUUUGAUUUUAGGAUCUCAGGGAUCGUCCCAGGUGGGUCGUUCCACUACAUGGGUCGUCCCAUAUGGGUCAUCCCACUGCAUGCCAUGGGACAAAAUGAAGCAUGCCGGCUAUCCAAUGAAAGAAGAUGACCCAGAUGGGUCGCUCCAUUUUAUACCAAUCCAAUUUUUCAUGUAUUUAAGGUCUGAAAUUUAUCAAAAUACUUUCAAAUGCUCUCAAAUGGCUUCAAAUCAAUUGGACACUCUCAAAAGACUUUGAAAACUUUUUCAACUUGCAGAAAUUUCAAUUGCACAUUCGAUGAGAC
RNAcentral lists this long non-coding RNA (349 nucleotides) under Elaeis guineensis (African oil palm). Its description in RNAcentral is "long non-coding RNA (EGUI_LNC077623)". The record is from RNAcentral. Lineage: Eukaryota; Viridiplantae; Streptophyta; Magnoliopsida; Arecales; Arecaceae.